Molecule: long non-coding RNA, 634 nt
Organism: Anastrepha obliqua
Lineage: Eukaryota; Metazoa; Arthropoda; Insecta; Diptera; Tephritidae
Exons: 2
Source: RefSeq, a predicted model, not a curated record
UGCAGACGCCAUUUACACAUUAGAGCGAAAAUUUCCCGUACAGCCGCCAUCCUAUUCCAUCCCCGUUCGUGAGCUUGUUUUAUAACCGGAAAAUUAACUAAUGCUUUGAAAAACGUAAAACAUCUACUUUUUUCGUAACAAUAAAUGAAAUACUCAGCAGAUAAACAGAGCAGCAAAGUGAAGGGACAAAAUAGUAAAAAAUUCGUCAAACUUCUUUCGGGCUUCUCACGCAUCUAAGGAAAACAUUCAUGCUCAUUGACUGAGCGGUGGCGGUACUUCUACAACCCGAAAUUUAUAUCCGCUAAAUUGAUGGCGAACAAGUUGAACACUUUCACUACAUAGGACGAUCAAGAAUGAUAGAAUAAAGUAUUCUGUAUACCGUGUGGACUAUUCUGUCGAAGCAAUAUCUAUUUCAAUGAAAUAGUGGGGAAGUCACAAAGAGAGUUAUCUGCACUUUUAAAAUUACUCAUAAAUGAAUAGAAGAGCCAAAAUGGACAACACCGUCCAUAUCCAAUUUUUCGGGAGGGCCAACUCCUCCAGCACCAUUUUUAAAAUUAUUAAAAUUAAAAAAAAAAAUUUUGUUUUUUAAUUGUUGUAUGCAAAAGAUUUUAAUAAAAAGCCUAAAAAAUUUUAA